CGGGGCGUCGCGUAGCUUGGUUAUCGUAUCUGUUUUGGGUACAGAACCUCGUAGGUUCAAAUCCUGCCGCCCCGA
RNAcentral lists this transfer RNA (75 nucleotides) under Teleaulax amphioxeia. Its description in RNAcentral is "tRNA-Pro". It matches the Rfam family "tRNA". Rfam says of the family: Transfer RNA (tRNA) molecules are approximately 80 nucleotides in length. Their secondary structure includes four short double-helical elements and three loops (D, anti-codon, and T loops). The record is from RNAcentral. Lineage: Eukaryota; Cryptophyceae; Pyrenomonadales; Geminigeraceae.